Macaca mulatta (Rhesus monkey) is the source of this 507-nucleotide non-coding RNA. NCBI's taxonomy places the organism in Eukaryota, Metazoa, Chordata, Mammalia, Primates, Cercopithecidae. The record is from RefSeq and is a predicted model, not a curated record.
UCCCCGGAGCAUCGUUCCCAGCGUCCUCCCCGGGAGCCGCUCGGCGGGCGCAGACGCCCCCACCGGUGCUCGCUGGGUUGGCUCCUUUCAGGGUCUCCCAGGAUCCGAUCCCUGCGAGCAUCAUCAGCCUGGCUCCUGCGGGAGGAGCCUGCGUUCUUGGGCCCCAGACUCUGAUGAAGAACAACCAUCUUUCCUCCGCUGGGAAAAUGCACGUGAACGUUUAGGUUUCCCAGUUUCACUGAGAUUAAGCUCCAGUCUCCUGCGAUGGUAGCUAACUUCAAAGUGGUCUGCUUCUGAGAUAACAUAAACCAGGCAGUCACUGAAUGCAUGAACAAUACGCCUGUAAGUUAUGGAGUUCUUGUAAGGAGACUGAACCAGUAGUUUCAGGAGAGGAUAACACAGAUGAGUCUCUGAAGAGCAGGACACCAGGCUCAGCUGAGGAGAGGCUACUAUGCUGAAAAUGGUGGAUGGGAUGGGGUGAGGAUAAAUGAAAAUUUACACACUUAA